RNAcentral lists this ribosomal RNA (482 nucleotides) under uncultured bacterium. Its description in RNAcentral is "partial 16S ribosomal RNA". It matches the Rfam family "Bacterial small subunit ribosomal RNA", at positions 28 to 506 of the family's 1533-position model. The record is from RNAcentral.
GACGAACGCUGGCGGCGUGCUUAACACAUGCAAGUCGAACGCUGAAGCUCAGCUUUUGUUGGGUGGAUGAGUGGCGAACGGGUGAGUAACACGUGAGUAACUUGCCCCCUUCUUUGGGAUAACGCCCGGAAACGGGUGCUAAUACUGGAUAUUCACUGGUCUUCGCAUGGGGGUUGGUGGAAAGGGUUUUUCUGGUGGGGGAUGGGCUCGCGGCCUAUCAGCUUGUUGGUGGGGUGAUGGCCUACCAAGGCUUUGACGGGUAGCCGGCCUGAGAGGGUGACCGGUCACAUUGGGACUGAGAUACGGCCCAGACUCCUACGGGAGGCAGCAGUGGGGAAUAUUGCACAAUGGGCGCAAGCCUGAUGCAGCGACGCCGCGUGAGGGAUGGAGGCCUUCGGGUUGUGAACCUCUUUCGCUCAUGGUCAAGCCGCAACAAUGGUUGUGGUGAGGGUAGUGGGGAAAGAAGCGCCGGCGAACUACGU